Molecule: ribosomal RNA, 169 nt
Filed under: Anabas testudineus (climbing perch)
Lineage: Eukaryota; Metazoa; Chordata; Actinopteri; Anabantiformes; Anabantidae
Description: partial 12S rRNA
Source: RNAcentral
CACCGCGGUUAUACGAGAGACCCAAGUUGAUAGAUAGCGGCGUAAAGAGUGGUUAGGAGGGAUAACAAACUAAAGCUGAAUACUUUCAAAGCUGUUAUACGCUCAUGAAAGAAAGAAACCCAACUACGAAAGUGGCUUUACACAAUCUGAACCCACGAAAGCUGGGGCA